GCCUGGGUGGCUCAGUUGGUUGAGCAUCUGACUUUGGCUCAGGUCAUGAUCUCGCUGUCCGUGAGUUCAAGCCCCGCAUCGGGCU
Non-coding RNA from Felis catus (domestic cat), 85 nucleotides. NCBI's taxonomy places the organism in Eukaryota, Metazoa, Chordata, Mammalia, Carnivora, Felidae. The record is from Rfam.